Molecule: ribosomal RNA, 2517 nt
Filed under: Clostridium perfringens
Lineage: Bacteria; Bacillati; Bacillota; Clostridia; Eubacteriales; Clostridiaceae
Description: bacterial LSU rRNA
Rfam family: Bacterial large subunit ribosomal RNA
Source: RNAcentral
CGAGUUAUGAUCCAGAGUACCACGAGACACGUGAAACCUUGUGGGAAGCAGGGAGGACCACCUCCCAAGGCUAAAUACUACCUGAUGACCGAUAGUGAAGCAGUACCGUGAGGGAAAGGUGAAAAGAACCCCGGGAGGGGAGUGAAAUAGAACCUGAAACCGUGUGCCUACAACCGCUCAGAGCCCCUUAUGAGGGUGAUGAGGUGCUUUUUGUAGAACGAGCCAACGAGUUACGGUAUGUAGCAAGGUUAAGUACUUAAGGUACGGAGCCGAAGGGAAACCGAGUCUGAAUAGGGCGACUAGUUGCAUGCCGUAGACCCGAAACCGGGUGACCUAUCCAUGGCCAGGUUGAAGCGAGGGUAAAACCUCGUGGAGGACCGAACCACGUUGCUGUUGAAAAAGCAUGGGAUGAGCUGUGGAUAGCGGAGAAAUUCCAAUCGAACCCGGAGAUAGCUGGUUCUCUCCGAAAUAGCUUUAGGGCUAGCGUCGAGUAUGAGUAGUGGAGGUAGAGCACUGAAUGGGCUAGGGGGCAUAGCGCUUACCGAACCUUAUCAAACUCCGAAUGCCACAUACUUUGAGCUCGGCAGUCAGACUACGAAUGAUAAGAUCCGUGGUCAAAAGGGAAACAGCCCAGAUCGUCAGCUAAGGUCCCAAAGUGUAAGUUAAGUGGGAAAGGAUGUGAGAUUUCUAAGACAACUAGGAUGUUGGCUUAGAAGCAGCCAUUCAUUAAAAGAGUGCGUAAUAGCUCACUAGUCGAGAGAUCUUGCGCCGAAAAUGUAACGGGGCUAAACUUACCACCGAAGCUACGGGCUUGAACUUAGUUCAAGCGGUAGGAGAGCGUCGUAACCGGGCUGAAGUCGUACCGUAAGGAGCGGUGGACUGGUUACGAGUGAGAAUGUUGGCAUCAGUAGCGAGAUGUGGGUGAGAAUCCCACAGGCCGAAAACCUAAGGUUUCCUCAGGAAGGUUCGUCCGCUGAGGGUUAGUCGGGACCUAAGCCGAGGCCGAAAGGCGUAGGUGAUGGACAACUGGUUGAUAUUCCAGUACCACUACCAUCGUUAUUAUCGAUGGCGUGACGCAGGAGGAUAGUGUGUGCUAGCUAUUGGAUGCUAGUCUAAGCGUUUAGGCAGUGAGAGUAGGCAAAUCCGCUCUCAUAAUGCUGAGGCGUGAUGGGGAAGGUUCUACGGAACCGAAGUACAUGAUUCCACGCUGCCAAGAAAAGCGUCUAGAGAGAGAAGUAGUGCCCGUACCGCAAACCGACACAGGUAGGUGAGGAGAGAAUCCUAAGGCCGGCGGAAGAAUUACAGUUAAGGAACUCGGCAAAUUGACCCCGUAAGUUCGCGAGAAGGGGUGCCUACGAGAGUAGGCCGCAGAGAAUAGGCCCAAGCAACUGUUUAGCAAAAACACAGGUCUCUGCUAAAGCGUAAGCUGAUGUAUAGGGGCUGACGCCUGCCCGGUGCUGGAAGGUUAAGGGGAACACUUAGCGCAAGCGAAGGUGUGAACUUAAGCCCCAGUAAACGGCGGCCGUAACUAUAACGGUCCUAAGGUAGCGAAAUUCCUUGUCAGGUAAGUUCUGACCCGCACGAAUGGCGUAAUGACUUGGGCACUGUCUCAACUGUAAAUCCGGCGAAGUUGUAGUGCGAGUGAAGAUGCUCGCUACCCGCGAUUGGACGGAAAGACCCCGUAGAGCUUUACUGUAGCUUAGCAUUGAGUUUUGGUAUUGUCUGUACAGGAUAGGUGGGAGACUAGGAAACCAGGGCGUCAGCCUUGGUGGAGUCAACCUUGGGAUACCACCCUGACAGUACUGAAAUUCUAACUGGCGGCCAUGAAUCUGGUCACAGGACAUUGUUAGGUGGGCAGUUUGACUGGGGCGGUCGCCUCCUAAAAAGUAACGGAGGCGCCCAAAGGUUCCCUCAGAACGGUCGGAAAUCGUUCGAAGAGUGCAAAGGCAGAAGGGAGCCUGACUGCGACACCCACAAGUGGAGCAGGGACGAAAGUCGGGCUUAGUGAUCCGGUGGUACCUCGUGGGAGGGCCAUCGCUCAACGGAUAAAAGCUACCUCGGGGAUAACAGGCUGAUCUCCCCCAAGAGUCCACAUCGACGGGGAGGUUUGGCACCUCGAUGUCGGCUCGUCGCAUCCUGGGGCUGAAGUAGGUCCCAAGGGUUGGGCUGUUCGCCCAUUAAAGCGGCACGCGAGCUGGGUUCAGAACGUCGUGAGACAGUUCGGUCCCUAUCCGUCGCGGGCGUAGGAAAUUUGAGAGGAGCUGUCCUUAGUACGAGAGGACCGGGAUGGACUGACCUCUGGUGUACCAGUUGUUCCGCCAGGAGCACAGCUGGGUAGCUAAGUCGGGAAUGGAUAAACGCUGAAAGCAUCUAAGCGUGAAGCCAACCUCAAGAUGAGAUUUCCCAUAGCGUAAGCUAGUAAGAUCCCUUGAAGAACACAAGGUUGAUAGGUCGGGGGUGUAAGCAUGGUAACAUGUUCAGCUGACCGAUACUAAUAGAUCGAGGGCUUGACCAAAU